UCCUUAUUUCUAAGGCAGUCUCGCUAGAGUGCUCCCAGAAGGUUAGCAACUAACGACAGAGGUUGCGCUCGUUAAAGGACUUAACCCAACAUCUCACGACACGAGCUGACGACAGCCAUGCAGCACCUGUUUAAUUGUCUUGAUUGCUCAAGAAAAGGACAUCUCUGCCCCGGUCAACUAUAUGUCAAGCCCAGGUAAGGUUCCUCGCGUAGUGUCGAAUUAAACCACAUGUUCCACCGCUUGUGCGGACCCCCGUCAAUUUCUUUGAGUUUUAGUCUUGCGACCGUACUCCCCAGGCGGAUCACUUAUCGCGUUAGCUACGAUACCAAACUCCUCAAGGGAAUCUGACAUCCAGUGAUCAUCGUUUACAGCGUGGACUAC
RNAcentral lists this unclassified non-coding RNA (381 nucleotides) under uncultured bacterium. RNAcentral's name for it is "contains 16S-23S intergenic spacer region". The record is from RNAcentral.